RNAcentral lists this ribosomal RNA (484 nucleotides) under uncultured bacterium. Its description in RNAcentral is "bacterial SSU rRNA". It matches the Rfam family "Bacterial small subunit ribosomal RNA", at positions 28 to 507 of the family's 1533-position model. The record is from RNAcentral.
GACGAACGCUAGCGAUAGGCUUAACACAUGCAAGUCGAGGGGCAGCGCGGGUAGCAAUACCUGGCGGCGACCGGCGCACGGGUGCGUAACACGUGUGCAACCUACCUUUAACUGGAGAAUAGCCCCGGGAAAUCGGGAUUAAUGUUCCAUAAAAUUAUUGAAUGGCAUCAUUUAGUAAUUAAAGCUCCGGCGGUACGGGAUGGGCAUGCGCGACAUUAGCUAGUUGGUAAGGUAACGGCUUACCAAGGCGACGAUGUUUAGGGGACCUGAGAGGGUUGUCCCCCACACUGGUACUGAGACACGGACCAGACUCCUACGGGAGGCAGCAGUGAGGAAUAUUGGUCAAUGGGCGCAAGCCUGAACCAGCCAUCCCGCGUGAAGGAAGAAUGCGCUACGCGUUGUAAACUUCUUUUCCAGGGGGAGAAUAAUCCUGUCGUGACAGGACUUGACGGUACUCUGGGAAUAAGCAUCGGCUAACUCCGUG